Electrophorus electricus (electric eel) is the source of this 2327-nucleotide non-coding RNA. The record is from RefSeq and is a predicted model, not a curated record. NCBI's taxonomy places the organism in Eukaryota, Metazoa, Chordata, Actinopteri, Gymnotiformes, Gymnotidae.
GGGAUUAUCAGAACGGCGAUACAACAUCGGAGGCGAGAAACUUUUUCGAGGCGCUUAAAGCCGUGACAUUUGAUGCAGGCUGUGUUCGCACCUUUGCAGAAAUGAUGAAAUAGACAAGCGAGAUCUCACAGGCUUGCAGUACGGAUGAGCACCCGAACCGCGUGAGGAGACUGCCGAUCAGCUGCUUUGAAGGAGGCUGUUCAGAUCACUAUAACGGGGCGAGUCUUCUUUCAAAGCGUCUUCGUUGCCUAAUGAUUGCAUUCGGAAGGCAUGUGUGUUAGAGUAGGGAGAAAUGUUCAGGUGAACAGAGCACUUGUUAUAAAGGUGUGCGUGCUCGCUCAUGUGCGACGUCCCUCAGGAUCUUCACAUUAAGUGUGCCCUUAUCGAUCAACAACGUCGAAAGUCGCCUACUUUAAGAGAAAGUAUGCGGAAGAAGAGGAUGUCCAGGGAGGCCUACAUGGAUAUUUACAAAAACACCUGAUUCUGCGUGAGGAGCGGAGCUGCAUCCUGCGCCUGUCACUGCAGAAGCUGCGUUUCCUGGACGACCCCGAGGCCUACCUGCGCCGCUCCGUUCUCAUUAACAACCUUCUCCGCAAGAUCCACUCUGACGGGGCGCAGCGAGGGGGAGAGGGGGAGGAGGAGGAAGAGGAGGCGCUGCAGGGGAACCUGCCCUCGCAGAGACUCUUUUACUCGGGUGGGAAGAGGCUGAAGGUGGUGGUUGCCGAAUGUUGCUCUCCGAGCUUCAGCCUCCAAGACCUCCAGCAGUGCAGGCUGCUCCCAUACCCCUCUUCCCCGGGCUCGUGCACCUGCAGCCUGGCCACUUGCCCCGCCCCGCCCCCUGAGCGCGGACCUCCAAUACUGCUCUACCAGCUGAAUGACCACUGAUGACCCCAACUGGUUUGCAGCAUGGAAUUUACCACCGUUGACCAGCAAGCCAAUGCCAGAGCCAAGAUGGAGCCCUGUGACAGACAAGGCCCUGGGAUUUUUUCCUGUGUGCAUCUGUGUGCUUGCAUAGCAUCAAAAACACACUUGGAAGCUGGGAUUGUUGCUGUUUAAGUCCUGUUUGGGAAUUCACCAUGAGUGAAUAUCAGGGUCUGCUUUUUCAUUAUUAUUAUUUUAUUUUUAUUUUUUUUACAGAGAAAAGGACUACAUCGCUCAUGCCUAACUGCCUCUCUGAUUAGCUUACAUUUUAUUUUGCUCUUUUCUUUGUCUUAAGUGAGCUAUUACAUAUUUAAGCAUUUUUCAGGGAUUAUAAGAAAAAAAACAGCAAGUACUUUACAUACAUAAGAAGGUGAAUACCUUGUGUUUAUGUAUGUAAAGUAAAAAUUGUCAGAUGUUUGGUUGCUUCACGAAAAUGGAAGGAUAGUUUGCUUUGUGAGCCACAAAUGAAAAACAAAGCAUCAAAAAAUAUUGAAUAUGUAAUUUUGCUAUUGCAUAUAAAGUGAGGGUUGUGUGAUUUGUAUGUCUUUGAGGAUAACCCACACAUUACAUUUAUACAAAAACAGGUUUCAACAUUCUAAAUUAAUACGUUUCUGCCCUCUAGUGCUGAAAUCCUGUAUUGUCAGCAAAAUACGACUAAAUGCAAGACACCGCCAGAGGACAGAUUUUUCAGUUUGAUUCUGGUUUUUAGAUUUAAUUAAUACUGGAAUCAGUAUAUCUGGAUAUUUUGGCCAAUGUUUCAAGGAAUGCCAGAUUUCUAUUUGAUGAUGUUUGGAAAACUUUGAAAAGUAGGCCUAGUCACCAAACACAUCAAGCCCUCGCUAACUCCAACACUUUCUGUCUGUACCUACGUCCUCUGUCUAUUCACAGACAGCUUUAUCACCCUCUUGGCACAGUAAUUGUUUGAUCUGGCUUAACACUACUAACACAAUCGCUCAUAGUAGGGUUUUUUUUCCUACAGAGUUCUGUUAUCUUCUGUUCCAUUUAAUGACUACACAGUGCAGACUAAUUACAAAACAAGGCAAACAUCCCUUUUACCUCACUUGCUGACUUCUCUCACAAAGCAAUGGUACAGACAUAACCUAUAUUUUAAUAUUCAAUGAAAUGUCAGAAAUUUGCCUUUUAUUCAGCUCUUUUUGUAUCAAUGUACAUGUGUAUGGAGUUGUUUGUUUUAUUUUGGUUUCAAUAUCUGAAUGUGUAAAACAGAUGAUUGAAUCAAAAGUGCUACCUUUUGGACUUAUGGAUAUAAACACAAAUAUGUGGUUUAUUUUAAAUGUUUUCUCUAUUUUUAAUAAAUGUUCUACAAAAAUGUUAACCAUAUUUUGCCAAAACAUUUAAAAGUAGUAGCAGAGAUCUGUCUAUUUUUCAGGUAUUGUAAUCAAAUUAAA